RNAcentral lists this unclassified non-coding RNA (150 nucleotides) under uncultured Dothideomycetes. RNAcentral describes it as "sequence contains ITS2". Lineage: Eukaryota; Fungi; Ascomycota; Dothideomycetes. RNAcentral also lists the same sequence under 1 other name. The record is from RNAcentral.
UAUCUUCUCAAGCUUUGCUUGGUGUUGGGUGCUUGCCUGUGUAUGUAGGCUCACCUUAAAAUGAUAAGUGCUUGCGUAGCCCUGCAAGUCGCGGAGUAGAAUCUGCUUGUUGGGGGGCAACCAGAGGCACUAUAACCAACUAUCACCAUU